GCCACACCGUAGUCAUAGAGCAAGAGGACUCAGAUACAGUUUGGUUGGUCCUUUACCUUCAAAAGUUCAAGUGCUGGCUGCCGAGACUUCUCCAACUCAGUGAUCAGGGUCCCAAGCUGGACCACCUCCUCAGAACCCUUGAUGACACGGCUGUUCCUCCUUUUGAGACACUUACUGAUGCAAAGGAGACUGAACAGUGAAGGAUCUCACUCAGAAUCCUGUCCACAAUCUGUCCAGUUUACACCUUACCCCAAAGAGAGGUAGCCUGUUAUACAACGUUCUUCACCUCAUUCUCUCACUUCACAAUAUAUCUUGGAGAUCUUACCAAAAGCACACAGAGACCUCCUGCGUUGUGAUUAGAUUUUCAUUGCAUAAUAUUCCAUUGUUCGUGUGUGUGUGAGUGUUUAGUUAGUCUCAAAUUGAUAGGUGCAUGAAUUUUUCCAAUCUUUUGUUAAGGCAAGCAGUAUUGAAUAAACUUGUACAUAAUA
This 488-nucleotide unclassified non-coding RNA is filed under the name Homo sapiens (human). RNAcentral's name for it is "HLA complex group 17 (ENSG00000236729.6)". The record is from RNAcentral. Lineage: Eukaryota; Metazoa; Chordata; Mammalia; Primates; Hominidae.